Molecule: non-coding RNA, 21 nt
Filed under: Caenorhabditis elegans
Lineage: Eukaryota; Metazoa; Nematoda; Chromadorea; Rhabditida; Rhabditidae
Source: RNAcentral
UUUCAACUACAACAUUUAAUA